GAUGAACGCUGGCGGCGUGCCUAAUACAUGCAAGUCGAGCGAACGGACGAGAAGCUUGCUUCUCUGAUGUUAGCGGCGGACGGGUGAGUAACACGUGGAUAACCUACCUAUAAGACUGGGAUAACUUCGGGAAACCGUAGCUAAUACCGGAUAAUAUUUUGAACCGCAUGGUUCAAAAGUGAAAGACGGUCUUGCUGUCACUUAUAGAUGGAUCCGCGCUGCAUUAGCUAGUUGGUAAGGUAACGGCUUACCAAGGCAACGAUGCAUAGCCGACCUGAGAGGGUGAUCGGCCACCCUGGAACUGAGCCACGGUCCAGACUCCUACGGGAGGCAGCAGUAGGGAAUCUUCCGCAAUGGGCGAGAGCCUGACGGAGCAACGCCGCGUGAGUGAUGAAGGUCUUCGGAUCGUAAAACUCUGUUAUUAGGGAAGAACAUAUGUGUAAGUAACUGUGCACAUCUUGACGGUACCUAAUCAGAAAGCCACGGCUAACUACGUG
RNAcentral lists this ribosomal RNA (497 nucleotides) under uncultured bacterium. RNAcentral describes it as "partial 16S ribosomal RNA". It matches the Rfam family "Bacterial small subunit ribosomal RNA", at positions 28 to 507 of the family's 1533-position model. The record is from RNAcentral.